Molecule: ribosomal RNA, 505 nt
Filed under: uncultured bacterium
Lineage: Bacteria
Description: partial 16S ribosomal RNA
Rfam family: Bacterial small subunit ribosomal RNA
Source: RNAcentral
GACGGACGCUGGCGGCGUGCCUAAUACAUGCAAGUAGAACGCACAGUUUAUACCGUAGCUUGCUACACCAUAGACUGUGAGUUGCGAACGGGUGAGUAACGCGUAGGUAACCUGCCUGGUAGCGGGGGAUAACUAUUGGAAACGAUAGCUAAUACCGCAUAAUAUUAAUUAUUGCAUGAUAAUUAAUUGAAAGGUGCAAUUGCACCACUACCAGAUGGACCUGCGUUGUAUUAGCUAGUAGGUGAGGUAACGGCUCACCUAGGCGACGAUACAUAGCCGACCUGAGAGGGUGAUCGGCCACACUGGGACUGAGACACGGCCCAGACUCCUACGGGAGGCAGCAGUAGGGAAUCUUCGGCAAUGGACGAAAGUCUGACCGAGCAACGCCGCGUGAGUGAAGAAGGUUUUCGGAUCAUAAAGCUCUGUUGUAAGAGAAGAACGGGUGUGAGAGUGGAAAGUUCACACUGUGACGGUAUCUGACCAGAAAGGGACGGCUAACUACGUG